Molecule: ribosomal RNA, 253 nt
Filed under: uncultured bacterium
Lineage: Bacteria
Description: partial 16S ribosomal RNA
Rfam family: Bacterial small subunit ribosomal RNA
Source: RNAcentral
GACGUAGGGCGCGAGCGUUGUCCGGAUUUAUUGGGCGUAAAGAGCUCGUAGGCGGCUUGUCGCGUCGACUGUGAAAACCCGCGGCUCAACUGCGGGCCUGCAGCCGAUACGGGCAGGCUAGAGUUCGGUAGGGGAGACUGGAAUUCCUGGUGUAGCGGUGAAAUGCGCAGAUAUCAGGAGGAAUACCGAUGGCGAAGGCAGGUCUCUGGGCUGAUACUGACGCUCAUGCACGAAAGCGUGGGGAGCAAACAGG